AUCCAGCUGACGAGUCCCAAAUAGGACGAAACGUGCGUCAUCCAU
This 45-nucleotide non-coding RNA is filed under the name Schistosoma haematobium. The record is from RNAcentral. Lineage: Eukaryota; Metazoa; Platyhelminthes; Trematoda; Strigeidida; Schistosomatidae.